RNAcentral lists this long non-coding RNA (1824 nucleotides) under Bemisia tabaci. RNAcentral describes it as "lncRNA ENSASIAIIG003166". Lineage: Eukaryota; Metazoa; Arthropoda; Insecta; Hemiptera; Aleyrodidae. The record is from RNAcentral.
GAACAUUUCUUGAGCAAAUUCAAAGAAAAUAUUGCAUAGACAUCAAAAUAACGAGGAACCAACUUAUUUGAAGAAAUGGAACCCAAACAGGGUGUCUACCAGUCUGGAAAGUCUGGAAAAAGUACGCAUUUUUUAAGGGAGUAUCUAGGACGCCAGCUGGAAAAAGAGCAAGGAUCAACAACUACUACACCAAAAUCUGCAGCUGGAGUACUCGCUGAUCCAUCAAAGGCAGUAUUGGUGUCGAUACUCAAUUCAAAGCUUAUCAACGGGGUAAAAUAUCAUAAGAUUAUCUGGAAGAAGUUGGCUCUCAAUAGUGAAGAGGAACAAAUGCUGCUGUUAUUUGGUGUCAAUCAAUUCUGGUGCCCUUUUAAUUCUUUCUUGAGAAUGAUUUUUCCUCAAAAGGGACUCAUGCUGAUAUCUUGGCAACUAGUUAUGUAUUAAAAAAGUAUGAUGAUGGCACUUUCUCAACUCAUUUAUUGAAUGUAAAUUUUCCAGAUUUGUUGUCUCAAAGCAAAGUCAUCCAUGAAGCAUGAGCUAAAAUUCGCUUUAGCUGUAAUUAAACAGUGGCAUGAGGGUGUAAUUAAAGCUUCUGAAAACAUCGUAAAUGUCUCUCCAAUGAACGCUUAAUUUAAGUACAUGCAUAAACAAUUUUGUUAGUUUAUGAAUUGGUUGGAACUCAAACAAUUUACCGUUCCCCAUUUCGAGUAUAUUUUGUCUAAAUUCUAUUUUAGUCUUUUCCAUAAGAAUAAAGUUCUCUAAAGUAGGUUAAUUUGAAAAUCUGUAGUAGCAUCUUUCAACUGAUAGAGACUUCUUCAAGAGUUGCUGUUUUAAUAGUUGUAAUAUUUUCAUUCUUAUUAGCCUCAACUCAACUUUACAAUUGACAGGGUUUGUUGGGAAAAACUACAACAAUCUAAUGCAGCAUUCAUCUUUUUGCACCAUGCCAAUCAGCAGCCUGAUUAAUGAAAUUUUUUGUUUGUAGGGCCGCCAAAGAUGACAUAGGUUAAAAGGCGGAGCGUGAUUGGUCGGCUAUGUCUUAUCGUUGCUUUGUCGUGCCUUCGUCAGGUGGAAUGAUCAACAUACUGUCGGAAACUUGAGAGGUCCCGUUAGCUUGUCGAGAGGUCAACCCGACAUAGACACGACAAAGCAGCGAUAAGACAUAGCUGACCAAUCACGCUUUGCCAUUUAACCUAUUUCAUCUAUGUCAUCCCGACAAACAAACAUUUUCAACAAUCAGGCUGCUGCUGUGCUUAAAUUUUUUAUCGCUGUAAACUGCAUCUUAUUUGAAAUAGGUCACCUCUAAGCCAGUCAAAUAGGCCAGACCAAAUACUAAACGCAAGAAAGUUCAGAGAUGUUGUUUUUUUUUGCUGUUUUGUCCAGCCCCUGGACCCCUUAAAAACCAGUAGCUUUUCUCAACAAGCCUUAGCAGUUAAUCUCAAACAAAAGAUGAAAGAAAAAACUUCAAUAGUUUGGAACCUAAAGUCAUAAGAUGCUAAACCUAUUUACCACAAUGCUUAUGAGCGGCUGAUAUCACUUGGUUUAAAAUGACUCUGUUAUGAACGAGACUAAUUAUAUUUUUUCAACAACUCUUGUGCUGUAGUAUUAGUAUGUAAUUCUUAUGUUCAUUGAAAAAAAUCUUUUUAUGCUUCAAGCCACGAUGACAACACAUAAUUAUUUUCCCCAAGUUCAUUCCAUAGCAAUGUCACCUACCACUGUCUUUGUUGGAUCAUUCUAUGAGAUGUUGAUGAUGUAUUUUUGAUUUGUUAAAUUUUAUUAUUAAGGUAUCAUAUAAUAUUGUUAAUGUUAAAUUAUAUGUUAAAAAAUUAU